CAAAAUUGCUUAUUAACCAAAAAAGACAGGCAAUUUCUUUAAUAAACCUGAAAAAAUGGUGUCCACAAACAAUCUGACUCUUGUUUAGAUGUAUUAUUUAGAGGUAUCCAUGGUUCACAAAUGAUUAGGUGGUAGGUAAUAGUAUUAUUCUUAACCCUGUGUUAGACAAUAGUCAAACAGUGUUUAGAUUUUGGUCUUCAGGAUUUAUGUUGUUGUGCCUGUGCUAACUUUUGCAGAUGUGAAUUACUUGCUGGAUGUGUUGACACAGAAGAAACAAAAGCUGGAAGCUGACAGCCAAGCUGUGCAACAUGAAUUGUUGAAAGAUUUUCUCUCACAAGUAAAGAGGCAUAAACAAGAGCAACUUGAUCAGCUUACACGAGAAGUGAAACUCAUUGAUGAAGACAUGAAGAGAGUUGUGGUAA
Orbicella faveolata is the source of this 422-nucleotide long non-coding RNA. The record is from RefSeq and is a predicted model, not a curated record. NCBI's taxonomy places the organism in Eukaryota, Metazoa, Cnidaria, Anthozoa, Scleractinia, Merulinidae.